This 354-nucleotide unclassified non-coding RNA is filed under the name Hevea brasiliensis (rubber tree). The record is from RNAcentral. Lineage: Eukaryota; Viridiplantae; Streptophyta; Magnoliopsida; Malpighiales; Euphorbiaceae.
GUUUGGUGUGGGUGGGGUACAAGUAGUUGAACUAUCCUGGCUUUUUUGGAGGUUCAGAGCGUAUGGGACAUGAGUUACAUUAAUUUAAUGUGUGCAGACAUGUUGCAAACUUUGUCCUUUCUUUUAAUAUUCCAUCUGUCCAAAACGAUGUGUCCAAUAGGUUUGAUGAACGGAAAAAGAAUUUUAUGAUUAAAAAUUUAAGACAAAUCCAAAAGUAUUUUUGCUAGUAGUUCAUUCCUAAUAUCAGUAAAGUUGCAGGUAUCUACCAUAGUUAUGACAUUAGUCAGAUAAUGCGAAAACUUUUUGUAUGACAGAAACAACGGCGUACCUAUUCUUUCUGUAAAGAAUUAGUGG